GAAGCAGCCCAGAUGAGAGAAAAGGUGCUUUAACUUUGAUUGCUGCAGAUUUUCUUGGCGUUUAAGUGCUGAUGAAGCAGGUCAGUCAAAACUGAAGAUCAGCUUUUGAUCAUGAAGAGGAGAUUAGGUCACAGAUGUUCAAUAAGGAAAGACCAUGUGAAGACACAAGAAGAUGGUCAUCUGCAAGCCAAGAGAAAUGUCUCAAAAGGAACUGGCCCUGCUGACAUCUUGACCUUGAAUUUCCAGCCUCAGGUUCUUGGAUGCUUGAUGGAAUUAAGGAUUUGAGAACAUGAGAACAAACAGGAAUAUGCAGGAAAUCUUGAGGACACAGGAGAUGAAGUCAACCUGUGGCCAAGGGAGAGGGAGGGACAUGAGAAGCUUUGUGAAAGAUGUCAGCGCAAACCUCAGGCAAGUGCCACCCAACCUAGAGCUGUGGAUUGAAGUUUGGCGUUGGGGUGUCAGCCUGUGAUUUCCUGAUCUCCAACUCCACUCCUCUUAAGUCACCCAGCCUAAGGCACUGAACCUCAUCAUCAGAACCUCAGAGUCCAACAUCUUGACCAUAGCCUUGCAACCCCACUGUUAGGUGAGUUUCAAGUUCUCACUCCCCAUAAACUUCUUCAGACCACUGCUCCCUCGAAUGACUUUGUUUCCUCCCAGGUCAUCAGUUUCCUUAGUCAAUUUCCAAGUCCUAUCAGUUGUAGACACUACGAUUGGUCAUCCCAUCUGAGUGACUAUUUCACUUAAACUUGCCUUUCCUCCUCUGUUUGCAAUAACUCUCAUACAUAGCUCUAGCUUAACAUCCACGUUGCCUUCUCUAUUCUUACCUCCAGGACAGCAGAACACUAAACAUUAAGUUCUUCAAUGCUAAAAAACAUCCUGUAAUCACGAAAAUCAGCCCAGUACAAAUUCAUGCUCACUACACGUGGUUCUCAGCUGCUGUGGGGCCUCUCUCUUCCCUUCAGUAUCCACAGACUUGCAACGUUCUUCUCAGCCUUCCUUCGCACCACUAAAUUAUCUCAUUAAGUCAGGACCAUCUGGUGGGAACUCCUUUAACUUCCCAGGGCCCAGGAAAAAUAAACCAUAUUUACCCAUGCCUCCCUCUUUCUCCAUGUGCCUUUUCAAGAAGAGAGGCUCUUCUCCCAGUGUCUCUCUCCCUGAUUCCAUAUCACCCUCUCUUCUUUGGGAUACUUCUCCAAAGAGUGUGGUCUUUCAGGUAUCCUUACUGUCUUAUGACUGAGUCAUUCCACUUGGCUUAUGAACCUCUUUGUUGCUUAUUCCAGGCACUCUGAGUCUCCCCUGCAUUCAGUCUCCCUUCAGCAUACAACACUGUUCAUGAUGCUUUUUGUAAAGCCCUCUGCUUCCCCAUCCUCCUUAGAUCUUCUGCUACUACUCUGGCCAGUUUUUUCUCUGUCUGCUGCUUCUCCUUCCCUUGACCUAUUACUUCCUUCCUCCUCCUGAAGAAAUCUGAUCUGCAGCUCCUCUUCUGUUUUCAUCAGUGUGCUCACUCUUGAUGCUGCUGCUCCUGCAGCUACUGCCAAGUCUCACUUGAUAGACAGUACCCACUCCAUAUGGGGCAAGAAUAAAAAUCACCAAAAAUAGACAGUUAUAAACAAAUGUCCCUGCCCAUAAGAUUUAUGUAAUCGUACUUUAUCCAUGUGUUAUAUUGCUAAGGACAUGGUGACUGUGACAGAUGUAACAUAAUAGAUGCAAUUGACAUAUACAGUAUUUCUUAUAGCUAAACUACAGCUAAGUUAUUAUAUUUGAAAAAUAAUAUAUGAGACACAUCAAUAAUUGGUUUCAUUGUUAAAAAUAUACACACAAAGCAUCUUA
RNAcentral lists this long non-coding RNA (1830 nucleotides) under Homo sapiens (human). Its description in RNAcentral is "HSALNT0338387". Lineage: Eukaryota; Metazoa; Chordata; Mammalia; Primates; Hominidae. The record is from RNAcentral.